GUGCCAGCCGCCGCGGUAAUACGAAGGGGACUAGCGUUGUUCGGAAUCACUGGGCGUAAAGCGCACGUAGGCGGAUUUGUAAGUCAGGGGUGAAAUCCCGGGGCUCAACCUCGGAACUGCCUUUGAUACUGCGAAUCUUGAGUCCGAUAGAGGUGGGUGGAAUUCCUAGUGUAGAGGUGAAAUUCGUAGAUAUUAGGAAGAACACCGGUGGCGAAGGCGGCCCACUGGAUCGGUACUGACGCUGAGGUGCGAAAGCGUGGGGAGCAAACAGGAUUAGAUACCCCAGUAGUC
Molecule: ribosomal RNA, 291 nt
Filed under: uncultured Hyphomicrobium sp.
Lineage: Bacteria; Pseudomonadati; Pseudomonadota; Alphaproteobacteria; Hyphomicrobiales; Hyphomicrobiaceae
Description: partial 16S ribosomal RNA
Rfam family: Bacterial small subunit ribosomal RNA
Source: RNAcentral